This 253-nucleotide ribosomal RNA is filed under the name uncultured bacterium. RNAcentral's name for it is "partial 16S ribosomal RNA". It matches the Rfam family "Bacterial small subunit ribosomal RNA", at positions 524 to 776 of the family's 1533-position model. The record is from RNAcentral.
UACGGAGGGGGCUAGCGUUGUUCGGAAUUACUGGGCGUAAAGCGUACGUAGGCUGCUUUGUAAGUUAGAGGUGAAAGCCCGGAGCUCAACUCCGGAAUUGCCUUUAAGACUGCAUCGCUUGAAUCAUGGAGAGGUUAGUGGAAUUCCGAGUGUAGAGGUGAAAUUCGUAGAUAUUCGGAAGAACACCAGUGGCGAAGGCGACUAACUGGACAUGUAUUGACGCUGAGGUACGAAAGCGUGGGGAGCAAACAGG